Regulatory RNA element from Ammonifex degensii KC4, 172 nucleotides. It matches the Rfam family "Ribosomal protein L10 leader". Rfam says of the family: This family is a putative r-protein leader autoregulatory structure found in B. subtilis and other low-GC Gram-positive bacteria. It is located in the 5' untranslated regions of mRNAs encoding ribosomal proteins L10 and L12 (rplJ-rplL). Lineage: Bacteria; Bacillati; Bacillota; Clostridia; Thermoanaerobacterales; Thermoanaerobacteraceae. The record is from Rfam.
UCAUAAAAUUCCUUUCUGCCUGAGACAGUUGGUGCCCUUUUAAGGGCUUAAAGGCGAGAAGCUUCGCCGCCAACCGAGGUGCUGUUGGGCUGGUUGAGGGUUUGCUUAGAAUCAAGCCUUUAACUGGGCGGAACCUCGGUUUUUGGCGGUUCCGCCCUUUCUAUUUUGGUGC